Molecule: ribosomal RNA, 282 nt
Filed under: uncultured Eubacteriales bacterium
Lineage: Bacteria; Bacillati; Bacillota; Clostridia; Eubacteriales
Description: uncultured Clostridiales bacterium partial 16S ribosomal RNA
Rfam family: Bacterial small subunit ribosomal RNA
Source: RNAcentral
UUUAUUUGAUUUCUUCGGAAUGAAGAUUUUGUGACUGAGUGGCGGACGGGUGAGUAACGCGUGGGUGACCUGCCCCAUACCGGGGGAUAACAGCUGGAAACGGCUGCUAAUACCGCAUAAGACCACAGAGCCGCAUGGCUCAGAGGGAAAAACUCCGGUGGUAUGAGAUGGGCUCGCGUCCGAUUAGAUAGUUGGUGGGGUAACGGCCUACCAAGGCGACGAUCAGUAGCCGGCCUGAGAGGGUGAACGGCCACAUUGGGACUGAGACACGGCCCAAACUCC